UACGUAGGGUGCAAGCGUUAAUCGGAAUCACUGGGCGUAAGGGGCGCGUAGGCGGCCAUUCAAGUCGGGGGUGAAAGCCCAGGGCUCAACCCUGGAAUUGCCUUCGAUACUGUUUGGCUGGAGACCGGAAGAGGUAAGUGGAACUGCGAGUGUAGAGGUGAAAUUCGUAGAUAUUCGCAAGAACACCAGUGGCGAAGGCGGCUUACUGGUCCGGUUCUGACGCUGAGGCGCGAAAGCGUGGGGAGCAAACAGG
RNAcentral lists this ribosomal RNA (253 nucleotides) under uncultured bacterium. RNAcentral describes it as "partial 16S ribosomal RNA". It matches the Rfam family "Bacterial small subunit ribosomal RNA", at positions 524 to 776 of the family's 1533-position model. The record is from RNAcentral.